UACGAAGGGGGCUAGCGUUGUUCGGAAUCACUGGGCGUAAAGGGCGCGUAGGCGGCCUGAUAAGUCGGGGGUGAAAGCCUGUGGCUCAACCACAGAAUUGCCUUCGAUACUGUUAGGCUUGAGACCGGAAGAGGUAAGUGGAACUGCGAGUGUAGAGGUGAAAUUCGUAGAUAUUCGCAAGAACACCAGUGGCGAAGGCGGCCUACUGGUCCGGUUCUGACGCUGAGGCGCGAAAGCGUGGGGAGCAAACAGG
This 253-nucleotide ribosomal RNA is filed under the name uncultured bacterium. RNAcentral describes it as "partial 16S ribosomal RNA". It matches the Rfam family "Bacterial small subunit ribosomal RNA", at positions 524 to 776 of the family's 1533-position model. The record is from RNAcentral.